UCGAGGACCCGCGAGGACUGACGGCCUCAGAGGCCGCGGUGGCCGCCACGGAUGCUCUGCGCCCGCAGAGGGGGCCCUGGGAAAGAGGGGGCCCUGGGAAAGAGGGGGAGAGGCCAAGAGGCGCACUAACUUGACCAGCUGGGCGGGCAUUCGAGAUGGCCGUGGGCAGGGAGGAAGUAAAAGAGCCGGGCCUGGGAAGAGGUGAGACAGCUUGCCAGGGGGCUGCUUGAAGACGAGCAGUGACCUACAGUCAGGUUCUCCCAGGUGUCACCCCCCACCCCAGGGUGUUACCACUUCGGACAACCAGGAGGCAGUUGUUAAACACCCGCCCAUUUCGCAGACUCGAGCACUGGCGCAGACAGGGAAUUUCGUGCUAGAUAACACCUUGACCAAAGGAGUAGAGUUGAUGGAGCCAGGCUGCCCAGCGAGGAUGCUCUUCACGACUUCUGGCUGCAUGCUUGCUGCCUCAUCCGUGCUGAGUCUCUCCUGCCACUUGGCCAGCUCAGCUUCCUUAACUCAUGCUCAGGACAGACCAAGAUGGCUCCUUUACUACGAAAAUAUGACCUGAUCGUGUUCCAAAUCUUCUCCAGUACUUACGCAGUCGUAUGGUUCACCGGUAAAACUUGUCUGCCAAGGGGCAUACUCCAAAGCCAUGAAGCUCUGCAUAAUUUUUGGAAAGAUAAAAAUAUUUCCCCUUGUGUUAAAAAUGGUUCACAUGUACUGAUUUCAUUAUUGUCGCCAUCAUCAUCAUCAUACCAAUAAUUUGUAUAGAGAAUUAACU
Molecule: long non-coding RNA, 781 nt
Organism: Talpa occidentalis (Iberian mole)
Lineage: Eukaryota; Metazoa; Chordata; Mammalia; Eulipotyphla; Talpidae
Exons: 3
Source: RefSeq, a predicted model, not a curated record